Molecule: unclassified non-coding RNA, 335 nt
Filed under: soil metagenome
Description: partial contains 5.8S ribosomal RNA, internal transcribed spacer 2, and large subunit ribosomal RNA
Rfam family: 5.8S ribosomal RNA (bases 2-120)
Source: RNAcentral
UAUGAAGAACGUAGCGAAAUGCGAUAAGUAAUGUGAAUUGCAGAAUUCAGUGAAUCAUCGAAUCUUUGAACGCACAUUGCGCCCUUUGGUAUUCCUUAGGGCAUGCCUGUUCGAGCGUCAUUUAAACCUUCAAGCUCAGCUUGGUGAUGGGUGACUGUCCUCCCCUCGCGGGGGGACUCGCCUCAAAAACAUUGGCGGCCGGUACAUUGGCUUCGAGCGCAGCAGAAACGCGGUCUCGAGCCCGGUGGAUCGGCUCCCAUAAGUCUAUUCUUUUAUUUUGACCUCGGAUCAGGUAGGGAUACCCGCUGAACUUAAGCAUAUCAAUAAGCGGAGGA